CAAGUAACUGAGCCAGACACCCACAAGCUUCCGUACCUUCAGGCUGUGAUCAAGGAGACUCUUAGACUCCGGAUGGCAAUUCCUCUUUUAGUCCCACACAUGAACCUUCAUGAUGCAAAGCUUGCUGGAUAUGAUAUUCCAGCAGAGAGCAAAAUCUUGGUUAACGCUUGGUGGUUGGCUAACAACCCCGCUCACUGGAAGAAACCGGAAGAGUUCAGGCCCGAGAGGUUCUUGGAAGAGGAGAAGCACGUCGAUGCCAAUGGCAAUGACUUCAGAUUCCUUCCAUUCGGUGUUGGUAGGAGGAGUUGCCCCGGAAUUAUCCUAGCGCUGCCAAUUCUCGGCAUCACUUUGGGACGUUUGGUGCAGAAUUUUGAGCUAUUGCCACCUCCGGGGCAGUCAAAGCUCGACACCACGGAGAAAGGUGGACAGUUCAGUCUCCACAUUUUGAAGCAUUCCACCAUUGUGAUGAAACCAAGAUCUUUCUGAACUGUGUAAUACUAUCUAUCAGUUAAGGGGCUCUGGAGAAAUCUGAUAAUUAUGAUUAUUGUUGUUUGAUUGUAAACUUUUAUUUAAGUUCGACAGAAAACAUUCUUCUUUCUUUUGCCAUAUAAAAGCCUUCUUGGACUAGAUUCAUUGUAAGUUCUGCCUAUCUGAUGUAUUUUCUUGAUGUACAAUGGGAAUUUUGCUUUCUGACAUUUGCAUUUCUUUUUUUUGCAAAAAUCAUGGAGUUGAUUUCUUAUACGAUUAUUUAAUUAAUCAUUAUUCCAAAAGUCACUUUUCUGAUCAAGAAAAACUGUGACUAGUUGCGUGAAAAAUCAAUUAUAAAAAAUGCGUUGACUUUUGGACCUUGUAGUACUUUCUGAUUACUACAAUGAUAGAAGCCUCAAAUUGAGGGGAGCGCUUUCAUUCGUCUUUUGCUCUAAUUCGAACUAACAAUCGGUUGAAAGUGAGGUGCACUUGUUAUUUGAGCAGCUUCAUCUUGUCAAUUACAUUAAUUAUUAUUCAUUAAUAGUCAAUUUGUAUGUAAAUGCAGGUUAUUUAACUGUGAUUAAGUGAUAAUUAACCGUAAUUAAGUGAUAAAUUCAUAUAAAAACAUGUAAUAGGAGUACAUUUAUCUUUAAUAUUAAAGAAAAUGAAUGCAACAUUGAAUGUGUGAAAAUAGUUGGUGAACCUGGUCCAGCAUCCAUUAAUUUUACCUGGCCUAUGAAGUCAAAUAAAUCCUAUUUAAAUCUUAGUAUUACUUUUCUUCACCAAACCCCGUUAGGUAAUUUUAAACAACUCGAUCAAAUCAAAUUGAUUUAGUUCAUUUCAACUUUUUGGAAAAAUGAGCCAAAAUAUAUUUAGCCAAAUAGUUGCUAUAUUUCGAUUUAAAUAUUUUGGAUUAAUUAAUACAUCACAUUAGUCUCAACAUACAGUAAAAUUUUGAGUGCGUUCGAAUUGAGACUAAUGUAUAUAAUUAAGGAAAUGACAUAUGUUAUGUGGUUAACUUGAUUAUCUGAUAGACGUUUGAGAACAAGCGUAAUUUCUUUUGCAAAAUCUAAACCAAAAUCGUUUGAUGAAUAUUUUACUGUGUAUACAAGUGCUCAACUGAACAAGAUGCAGUUCAAAUAUUAGAAAUAAAAUUUAAUAGAUUUUCGAUGUCUAUUUUAUAUAUUUUGAACUUUGGCUCUUUAAACUAUCAUCUACUCAGUAUAAUCAACUUUAACACCAUAUCAAUUAUACCUUGGGUUGUACAGUGUAUAAUGGUGAAUUUUGGUCCAAAGUAUUCAAAUAAAAAAUAAAGAAAUUUGACCUCAUAAAUUAAGUCAAGAUAAGAUUUUGAUCACUAGAAUUGAAUUUCUUAACCUAUAUGUACUUUGAUUGUCUAAAUAAUUUUAAAUUUUGACAUGUAGAACGUUGAUUUGGUUUAAGUUUAAUCCUAAAAAGAACGGCUUAAUGAGUAUAUUUAAUCCCGUAAGUUAGUAGGCGUUUUGUCUUAAAAAAUCAAUAUAAUUCAUUUAUAUGAAAUUUUUAAAGUUAAAGUUGUAUUUAACUACACUCUUUGUAAAAAAUAUUUAAAACUUAAAUAUAAUUUUGAAAAAUAUGUCUUAUACCCAUAAUUUUUUAAAACUAAUAAAAUCAUUCAAUUUGACUUGUUUAUUUAAAAAAAAAAAAACAAAUCUUCUCUAAAAGAAUAUCACAUCUAUUGCACCAAAUUAAAAUAAGGACGAACUAUCAACCAGUUAGGUAAAAGUUGACACAAUCAAAAGAAGAAGAAAAAAAGCAUAAAAAAUGUUUUCCAACAAUUGAGCUAAAAGAAAAUUGAAGAUGUAAAUACAUAAUCCAAUUGAAAAUGUUUCACCUAGGAGGAGUUAGAAUUUAGAAAAGGCAAAUUAGACUAUACUAUAUUUGAACUCUAAAAGUGAUUUUUUCCAAAUUAGACUUUUCUUAUGGUAUUAACUCUCUGAUGUUUUUAGGAUUUAUUAUAUAUUUUAAUAAGAUCAAAUAUUUGGGGAAGGCCUGGGGUGUUUAUUAUUUAUGUUUAUACGACAAUUUAUGAUGAUUUUGUUAGUUAGUUUUUUUUUUUUUAAUAUAUAUAAUAACAUAUGAAUUAAUCAGAGAUAAUUGAAUUAUGUAAUAAAAUAAAGGAAGAACCACAUAGAAUAGAAUGGAAAGAGAAGAGAGAUUGAUUAUUAUUUCUCCUCUUAAGAAGUUUCUUCGUAGAUUAAUUACAAUGAAUGAAAAUUCCUUUAUUUAUAUGGAAAAAUUAACCUUGAAAUUUUUAACUUUUUCAUAAAUAGAUAUUCACUAUAUAUGGUAAAGUAGACAUUCAUUGUAUAUGGUAAUAUAUUUAUAACACUCCUCCUUGAAUGUCUAAUUGAUAGAUAAUGUGUCUCAUUAAAACCUUACUAGAAAAAAUCUUGUGGAAAAAAAAAAUCUAGUGAAGGAAAAUAGUACACAUCUCUAACAAUACACAUAUAGGUUGUCUCAUUAAAAAUCUUACAAGAAAAACCCAUUCGGACAAAAUCUCGUAAGAAAAAAAAAGUAUAUCGCGUAUUAACUCUCCUUAAUGAGAACAUCCUUGUACCUCGAUCUUGUGCACCAUCUUCUUGAAAGUUGCAAUUGGAGGGGACUUGGUGAAUAAAUCAACCACAUUGUCACUUGAACGAAUAUGUUGCACGUUAAUAUCAUCAUUCUUUUGUAGCUUAUGUGUAUAGAAAAUUUUUGGCGCAAUGUGUUUCGUUCUAUCUUCUUGAGUCCUCCCUUAAGUUGUGUUGUGUGUGUUGCAUUAUCUCCGUAUAAAAUUGUGGGUACAUUGUUAUAUUUCACAUCACAUUUUUCUCGAAUGAGAUUUAUCAUGAAUCUCAACCAUACUCAUUCUCGGCUUGCUUCAUGAAUAACUAUUAUCUCAGCAUGAUUCGAUGAAGUGGCUAGAUAGACUGCUUUGUAUAUCUCCAAGUUAUGACAGUACCCCCACAUAUGAACACAUAACUUAUUUGUGAUCGAGCUUUAUACGGGUCAGAUAAGUAUCCGGCAUCAACAUAACCAACAAGAUCGGGACUAAAAUUUUUAGAAUAAACAAGCUCAUAUGUUUGAUCUCAUUUCGAUGUCUCCUAGUAGGAGCAGAACUAUAUCUUGCUAACAAAUUGACCGAAAAGACUAUAUCAGACCUUGUGAUAUUUGCAAGAUGCAUGAGUGCACCAAUUGCACUAAGAUGUGGUACUUCAUAACCAAUCUAAAUUGGUAUAUUUUUUAUUUUAGCAAAUAAUCUAUUACUUUUGAAAACUCUCCAAGAGUUUCAAUAAUAUUCAAACCAUCAAUUUAUCCCUUAUAGGGAUAAUAAACAAGUUUUUCAGAAACUUUAUAUGCUUCAGGCAUUUUAAAUCCUUUAGAAAUUUUCAUAUAGAUUUUUGUCAAGUGACAAUAUCAAUAUGUGUAACAUAAGUGUCUGGACUGCAAAUCAAAUAAAUAUUAUGCUUACCAAGAUGCAUCAUUUCAUGUCACUUGAUAAAUGUUUCUAUGUUAGCAUGCAAAAUUCAAAUCCUCGUAAUCUUUUACAAUAUUGCUCUAAUAUUGUAUCAAAGAUAUCGUUGAUGUUUCUCAUUUUUUAUCGAUUCGCAAUGUGACAUAACAUUUUGAGAUCUCUAUCACUUCAUUAUUUUCAGGUACCUGAACCUCUCAUAAGGUUUCAUGAAGUGUCAUGUCGUAGGUUCUUCAAGAGCACAUUACCUUCUUGCUAUGAUCAUUUGUUUCAUUUUCUUUUUAAAAAAUUAUUGCAUUCAAAACCGAUUGAUCUACCAUGUUUCAUACAUGUAGUAGACUUUGCCCUUCAGAGACAUCCAAUUGAAGCAUUUACAGCAAAAUAUAAUAUCAAUUUUUGGAUCAACAAAUGCUCCUAGCAUUUGAACUUGAAUUAUCCUUUGAAUAGGGAUCAUAUUGAUGAUAAUUCAUAACAUAUUUCUUAAAUGUUUAUUAUCUCCCCCUCAUACUAGGAAAACUAACAUACAUCUUAAUUUGCUUUAGAGAAUUCAUCUUUGUGCACAUGAUAUAUCCAUUGAUCAAAUACCACAUAUUAAAACUACUGAUGAAAUAAUUGGUUCCUGACCUUGAACUAAUUGAGAGGGGAAUUUACUGAUCUAAUGCAUACGAGUGUUAUUGUAUGUAAUAUAUCAUAUUUCAUACCAACACAUGCAGCUCUGUUCUCAUUAGCAAUGAUUUAGCUAUUAUCGAAGACAUUCAAUGCCAAAUCAGCAUUAUCAAGAUAAAUUAUCUUGAUUAUAUAAUAUGAAAAUUAUGCUUUUAACUCCAUUUAUAUUGAGCAAGCAAAUCUAUGAAUGCCAACUAUAGGUUGACAAUAGACGUACAUAUGAUCAUCUUAUAUUGAUGUGUCUUAAUAUAUAUUACAUGAUAGAUGAACGGUCCCUUAUUCACCUUUAAUAUUUUUUUCAGAUUUUAAGGGAUCCAAUCACAACAUUAGUUGGUCCAACCAAUUUAUCAUGAGAGCACACAACAUUAAGAGUUAAUGAAGGAUUUUCGAAUUCUUCAAUAUUUGUUUAAUACUCAGUAUGCACAUCUUUGGGAUGUCGCAAUUGUUCAUGUUAAUUUAUGAACUUUUAUUAUAGCAAAUUCCAAGUUUACCAUGACAUAUACCUUUUACUUUACUAAAUUUCAGAUUUACUAUUACAUGAAUAAAUUUUAGAUUUACUACUUUAAAAGUAGAUUUUAUAGUAACUCUUCUCAGUUAUUCAACCUCUUUCGGCGGUGAGUUGUGAUACCAUCACAAUCACGUGUGCGUUUGCAUUAAAAAGCUUCUCAUUCCCCAGGAAUGAAAUAUAAUUGUGCCUUAAACCUAUCAAAUUAUGAUAGCUUAUAGCCUCUUUUUAAGAUAUUGCUAAUUCAGGAGCAAAUCGAGGCAUACAUAUGGUUGUAGAGAAAUUUUCUCUAACAUAUCUUUUAAUCAUGAUAAAUGUGUAAAAAUAUUAUCACUUUUGAUGAUUAUUAUCAUAUUGUCCCUCCACGUUUAUAUCCGUGCAUUCAAUCACUUGUCUUCUUUCAGACAUAUUAUGCACUGCUACCAUAUACACACAUACACUUAAAAAAUGAAGUAAGUUGUCAUAUUUCAGACUUAUCAUAUAUUGCUACCACAUUCACUUCAUGGAAUGGAGCAAAUUUAAUGAGUUGGAUUUCAUAACUUUUCAUCAAAUACUCAUUAUUUUGUCUUAGCCAUCAUAAUAUCAUCAGUAUAGUGCAUUGAGAUUCAAACUCAACGUCUUAUCCACAUAAAUGCAUCUUAUGCUAUAAAUAGAUCGGACUUGAACCCAACAUCUUAUCAUCAUGGUGCAUUGAAACUUUUAACCCAAUGUCUUAAUGAGAUGAGACUUAAAUUCAUCAUCAUAUUUUUUAAUAAUAUUGUUCUUCAUGAACAAAUUGAAACCAUAAGUGGUUCCAAACCAAUUAUUUUUCUCCCAAAUCCAACAAUAAUUAUAUCAUUAGUUGAAAAGGACAAAUAACAUAAGAAAUUACUAAUCUUGAAAUUACUUUUAGAUUUAUAUUCUCACUUUGUUUGACAAAUUCUCAUGCUGAUAACGUGUUAUAAAAUAUAAAACAAGAACAACAAGAAUAGAAUAGAGCGAGAAGAGAGAGUGAUUAUUAUUUCUCCUCUUAAGAAGUUUCUUGAUGGGUUAAUUACAAUGAAGGAAAACCAUUAUUUAUAGGGGAAGACUAACGUUUCUAAGAAACUUUUUCAUAAAGGUAAAAUAGAAAUUCACUAUAUAUGAUAAUAUAUUUAUAACAAAUUAUUCAAUUUAAAGAUAGUUGAGGAUUGAGAGUUAAUCACAAAUUCUUCAAUUUUGGAUUGUGACAAUUUUGUCUCUUCCCAUAUACAUUUGAAUUCACUCAAUUUAAAGAUAAUUGAGUGUCGAAUCACUAAUUUUUUAAAUUUUGAAUACUGAAAAUUAUAUUUCUCUUCUUAUGCACUCGAAUUACUCAGAUAAUCAUAAUUAAUUAACACAAAUUAAAGAUAGUUGAGUGUCAAUCACGAAUCUUCUAAAUUUUGAAUUAUGGAGAUUUUGAAUAAGUUCUUUACUCUUUGAUUCUGUCAAGAUAUAUCCUUUAUAUAAUUUUUAGAACAAUAAUUGCAUGUGGCAAAAAAUAACUAUAAAAGUUUUCAGGAUUAAACUUAUUUGUAAAAGUUCAUAGCCUAGGUUAGAGUAUUCUUAACUUUUUUUUUUUAUUUUUUUUAUUUUUUUACACUUAAACAACAAUGGCUGAAGAUAUUUUCAUUUAACUUUUCCGCUGCUUUGACUUUGUAAUAUGUGUUUUUUUUUUUUUUUGGUAAACACUUUGUAAUAUGUGUUGAAAAAGAAAAUGACGAAAACCUAAACAACGUGCGGAGGAAAACUACUUUUCUUUCUUAUAUACUUUUAACUUUAAGAAUAUCAAUUUGAUAUUUUGCGAACUCUUAAUGAUAACAUGAGCAGGCUGCCUAAUUCAGUUUCUAAUUAAAAUAUAUAAAAAAAAGGGUAAUUCGGUGCACUAAAGCUAUCGCUAUACGCCGUGUCCGGGGAAGGGCCCUACCACAAGGGUGUAUCGUACGCAAUCUUACCUUGUAUUUCUACUUAAACCUGUGACCUCCUGAUCUCAUGACAUCAACUUUACCCGUUACUGCUCCCGAAAAUAUCUUCCUAAUAAUUCAGCCUCAACUCAUUUUCACAUUAGAUGAGGAUGCAGGUGUUUGACCAAAAGACUUGGAAUUCAAUUUUAAGUUUUGAUUUGAAAUUAUCGUUUGUUUAUAAGAUUUGUACAAAAAUUAAAAUUUUAGAUACUUUAAAAGUAAGAUUUCAAAUUUCAACCUGCAAUGUCAAUUUUUUUAAAUGUAAAGUUUGAUCUAUUAAUUUAUAUUUUAUUUAAAAAAAUUAACAUUGAUGUGAAUAUAUCGCAUGUAUCAUAUGGAGGAAUUAUUUAAAAUGUAAAAUUUGAUCUAUAAAUUUAUAUUUUAUUUAAAAAAAUUAACAUCGAUGUGAAUAUAUCGCAUCUAUUAUAUGGAGGAAUUAUAUUAAAUAAUAACUAGUUAAUUUUCAUAGAAUUAUGCAUUUACAAAACCUUUGUAAUAGGCUAAUAGCAUGUAUCACAAGCAUUUAUUUAUAAAAAUAAAUAAAUGAAGAUAUGCAUUUUAUUAAUGCGACACUUAGUAUAUAUGAAUAUAUUAUUUAUAAAUCAUGAUGUGGUAAUUAACAAGAUUGUAUAAAUAUUGAGAAGUUUAAUAUAGUUUCACAAAUUGUGAGACUUUUAUAUUUAUGAAUAAAAAUAUAAUCUGAAGAAUCUAAAUUAUAUAUCCAAAUAAAAUUUUGACUUUAAAUCAAUCUUGGCUGCCUAAUAAAGUCAAUCUGCAUUCAUUUUUUCACAUUAGAUCCAUAACAGUAAUUACCAAUACAGCAAGAUUAUUUUCUUUGUAUUCAUAUUUUUACAAGACUAAUUCAAUCUUAUAUUCAAAAUUGUAUUAAUCAAAACAUUAAUGAUGUAUGCAUCUGGCUAAGGUCUACUACUACAAGCUCACCAAACCCCCCACAUACCAUUCCUCUUACCUAACCCCAUCUACCAUUCCGUUAAACUUAACGCCGUUAACUUCCACCUAACCUCCAAUUUUUCCCUCUAUAAAAAAUACUCAAAACACUCUUCUCCAUUGCAUUACCAAAACAUUCUUCUUUAAAUUUCCUUAGAAGAACCCCAUUUUUGUACCAAAAAAAUGGAUCUUCUCUUACUAGAGAAGACCUUAAUAGGCCUUUUCUUUGCCAUUUUAGUAGCUAUUAUUGUGUCUAAAUUGCGGAGCAAGCGUUUUAAGCUGCCCCCAGGUCCAAUUCCAGUCCCAGUUUUUGGUAACUGGCUGCAAGUUGGCGACGAUUUGAAUCAUCGUAACCUCACUGAUUACGCGAAGAAGUUUGGUGACAUUUUCUUGCUUAGAAUGGGGCAAAGAAACUUGGUCGUUGUGUCGUCCCCUGAAUCAGCUAAAGAAGUUUUGCACACCCAAGGGGUUGAAUUUGGAUCAAGAACGAGAAAUGUAGUCUUUGAUAUCUUCACUGGAAAGGGUCAAGAUAUGGUUUUUACUGUAUACGGUGAGCAUUGGAGGAAGAUGAGGAGGAUUAUGACUGUACCCUUUUUCACUAAUAAAGUGGUUCAGCAAUACAGAGGGGGUUGGGAGUCUGAGGUGGCUAGUGUUGUUGAGGAUGUGAAGAAGAAUCCUGAAUCUGCUACGAAUGGGAUUGUUUUGAGGAAGAGAUUGCAACUCAUGAUGUAUAAUAAUAUGUUCAGGAUUAUGUUUGAUAGGAGAUUUGAGAGUGAAGAUGAUCCCCUUUUCGUAAAGCUUAGAGCUUUGAAUGGUGAGAGGAGUAGAUUGGCUCAGAGUUUUGAGUACAAUUAUGGUGAUUUUAUCCCUAUUUUGAGGCCUUUCUUGAGGGGCUACUUGAAGAUUUGCAAGGAAGUUAAGGAGAAGAGGUUGCAGCUGUUCAAGGAUUACUUUGUUGAUGAAAGAAAGUAAGUUUUGUUCACUUUAUUUUAUUUAUAUUCAAUUUGUUGUUUUCCUCAGUUUUAUUGUCUUAAGAUAAAUGUGUAGGAUAUAGGAUGAAUCUAAAGAACCAAUCUUUAUUUAGUUUCUUUCAUAAAGUAGGUCUAUUGGUGAUAAUGAUCUUUAGGAUGUGGGGAUCACAUAACACACUGUUGAUCUUGAUCUUUUUGGUCUAUUCAAUGGGUAUCUUUUCCCAAACAGCCACCCCAAGAGAACAUUUACCUUGCCAUAAGGCACCUUGUCUUCUAGCCAAUUGAGGAUUUUGACUAAUUCCCCCUCUGGAUUUCCAGAACUUUUGACUUUGUCACUCUAAAGUUUUGGCAAGCAGAUCAUUCAAUAGCAUCAACUAUUUAGGGGAUUUUGUUGCAAGUCCUGCUCAAUGAAGGUUGGUGUGAUUGGAGUGCUUUGAGGUACCAUUAGUUUGUAACAUUUUUAUUGGCUUUGUGCAGGAAGCUUGCAAACACCAAGAGCAUGGACAGCAAUGCUCUAAAAUGUGCCAUUGAUCACAUUCUUGAUGCUCAACAGAAGGGAGAGAUCAACGAGGAUAACGUUCUCUACAUUGUCGAGAACAUCAAUGUUGCUGGUAUGUUUCAAAAUAACCUAUCUUUAGUUCUCUUGAGUACAACUUGUUCUAGUUUGGUUUAGUAUGUGCAUGCAUUUCCUAGUGAAAGGUUGAAAAGAAUUUCUAACAGUACUUGGUUUGGUAUUCUUACGAGUUCCUUUUGGAGGAGAAUAACAGCAUUCAUAAGGCUGAAUGGUUUGUUUAACUGAAAGUGAGUGAGCUUUACCUAAAAACAUAAUGAUAAACCAAGAAUGACAGUGACAUCUCCACCUAUUACCAAGUUUAAGGAACUUUUUAUCAGUUGUCCCAUGAUUUUUAAUCAUUCUAGUUAGGUACACGUCUGGUUAGCUAGUUAGUGAGGCAAUCGCUUAUCAAAGCGAUGAUUAGUAGUUGGUCCAAGCGGAUGAUGAUUAGUAGUUGGUCCAAGCGGAUGAUCAACUACAUUGGGAUUGAGACCCGACCCACACUCCUAUGAGGGGCGGCAGUUGGGAAUUUUCCGGGAUGGGCAAAAGCCGGUAGUUGAGAAUUUCCAUAUGAGGGCCCCAAGAACAAUUGUUUUUAUGAUCAAGAUGGGCUUUCUAAUGAGUCAACAGUUAGAUAUGGUUGGUGUACUUACCAAUUUCUUGCUAAGGUUAGGUAGAGCAGGGUUGGUGCGCACAUUUUAAGGCUUCUAACUGUCCAUAGGUAAUAACUUAUACCAACUCAUGCUAAUUAUAAUCAUGAUAGUGGAUCAAUGUACUAAAAGUUCUUUAGUAUCAUUAUUUUGUCUACAAACAAAAACAGUGAGUUUUUUUGUUUUUUUUUUUGAGAAUAAGCUGUUAUGGUAACAUUCAAGUAGGACCUGAAAUGAGUAAUAAAGUGAACCUUAUGAUAUAAGUGAUAGUGAUGUUUUUAUGCUAACAAGACUAGCUAGAUACCACAAAUCUGAUACUAUAAGACUGAAAAGGUCCCAAAUAAAGAUGGACUAGUUAGUUCUAUGAGUUUACUGCACUCAUUGCUUUUGGUUCGAACUGUGCAUGCACAUGAACGAAGAAUUUAUUAUACAUAACAAAAUCAUACUCAUUUUGAACUCACCAAUGUUAGAUCUUGGAAUUGUGUCUGGUCCUAAAUCAGUUUCUUCGCAUUGUCUUGUACUGAGCAAUAAGUGAGCAUUGAUGAGGUCAAACUCAAAGGGUCCGAGCGUCCUACCAUUGUUCUAAAACUAGCAUUUAGAACCACUUGUGUAUCAUUGCAUUGUUCAUAAACUUCUUGGCUAGUUGAUUAUUCAACUGAUAUGCAUAAUUCUUGUCCAUGAGCAGCAAUUGAAACAACAUUGUGGUCAAUUGAAUGGGGUAUCGCGGAGCUAGUCAACCACCCUCACAUCCAACAGAAACUCCGUGAAGAGAUCGACGCAGUUCUUGGACCAGGAGUGCAAGUGACUGAGCCAGACACCCAAAAGCUUCCGUACCUUCAGGCUGUGAUCAAGGAGACUCUUAGACUCCGGAUGGCAAUUCCUCUUUUAGUCCCACACAUGAACCUUCAUGAUGCAAAGCUUGCUGGAUAUGAUAUUCCAGCAGAGAGCAAAAUCUUGGUUAACGCUUGGUGGUUGGCUAACAACCCCGCUCACUGGAAGAAACCGGAAGAGUUCAGGCCCGAGAGGUUCUUGGAAGAGGAGAAGCACG
RNAcentral lists this long non-coding RNA (11263 nucleotides) under Capsicum annuum. RNAcentral describes it as "long non-coding RNA (CANN_LNC009108)". The stretch from base 9742 to 10134 matches the Rfam family "Bacterial small subunit ribosomal RNA", at positions 40 to 399 of the family's 1533-position model. The record is from RNAcentral. Lineage: Eukaryota; Viridiplantae; Streptophyta; Magnoliopsida; Solanales; Solanaceae.